AGAGUUUGAUCCUGGCUCAGAUUGAACGCUGGCGGCAUGCCUUACACAUGCAAGUCGAACGGCAGCACGGGGGCAACCCUGGUGGCGAGUGGCGAACGGGUGAGUAAUACAUCGGAACGUGUCCUGUAGUGGGGGAUAGCCCGGCGAAAGCCGGAUUAAUACCGCAUACGCUCUACGGAGGAAAGGGGGGGAUCGCAAGACCUCUCGCUACAGGGGCGGCCGAUGGCAGAUUAGCUAGUUGGUGGGGUAAAGGCCUACCAAGGCGACGAUCUGUAGCUGGUCUGAGAGGACGACCAGCCACACUGGGACUGAGACACGGCCCAGACUCCUACGGGAGGCAGCAGUGGGGAAUUUUGGACAAUGGGGGCAACCCUGAUCCAGCAAUGCCGCGUGUGUGAAGAAGGCCUUCGGGUUGUAAAGCACUUUUGUCCGG
RNAcentral lists this ribosomal RNA (433 nucleotides) under uncultured bacterium. RNAcentral describes it as "bacterial SSU rRNA". It matches the Rfam family "Bacterial small subunit ribosomal RNA", at positions 8 to 443 of the family's 1533-position model. The record is from RNAcentral.